Molecule: long non-coding RNA, 706 nt
Organism: Peromyscus eremicus (cactus mouse)
Lineage: Eukaryota; Metazoa; Chordata; Mammalia; Rodentia; Cricetidae
Exons: 3
Source: RefSeq, a predicted model, not a curated record
GGAGACAGACAAGCAACAAACAAGCGCCACCCAGCGAGAGAAGUUCUGUGACACAGUUGAGCACAAGAGGCGACAAGGGAGAAUUUCUGGAAGAGAGACUAUUUUGUAGCUCAGCCUUGAAGACACACAGAGUAUUGGAUGAAGAAAGCGUGGAAUGAGACAGGAUUUCCAGGCUAGACAAUAGCCUAGGCAAAGAAAGGAGUUGGGCCUUUGUUAUUUGAGGUUCAGAGAGCUGAGAGCACAUCACAAGAAGGACAGGUGUGACCAUAGGAACCAGCUGCUUCUUCUCACAGUGACACUAGGAAGAAAAUGACUUAAAUGACCUACCGGAGGUCCAGGACGUCCAGGUUCACCCAUCUCUCCCUUGUCUCCUUUCUCCCCCUGGAAAUCCUGUCGUAAGCACAGUUCAAGGUCAUUAUCACAAACCAAGCGAAUGAGAUUCGAGGAGCCGAAUUUGGAAAUACCCUCUGUCCAGUGAGACUAGGUGUGAAAACCAAGACUGGGCCCCAAGACGACAGCAGCGCACUGGCUUUUCCUGUGUCUCAUCUUUCACAUUGUACACAGGAGCUUACAUUAACACUGUUGCAAUCUUUAAAAGAAAAAGUAUCCUUUGUGCAUCCCCAGGAGAAAUAUUCUUUGUCAGUUACUAUUACAUCUGCCAGCCAAUAAAGGUGCAAGAUCAGAGUUCUUCUAAAACUCAGUUUCU